AAGCUAGACGUCUUAAAGGGGAACCUUGGCAUAGACUCUGAGGGCUUUGCCGAUGAGGAGAAACCUGAUGCAAUCCCCAAAAGGGCUUUGGAUAAGACACCCUUGGGUCACAUCAUGGAGGAACCCAAGCCAUCAACCUUCGGGGAUCUCCCCACAUCUCUGCUCCCUCUGAGAGACCUGUCCCCCCACAGAAGGAUUCACUUGGGGGGCAAGGACAACAUAUGGCCAGCAGAGAGGCACCACCAUCCCUGUCAGAUCCCCAAGAGUGACAAUGCUACUGGGCCCAGGCCGAUCUGCAGUAAUGGAAAAGAAGCACCCAACUGGGAGCAUAGCAUCUCCCUCAGGAGAGACCGACUGGCCUGAUCUCCACUUGGCCUAGCAGCCUUCCCUGAGUUGGGCCUGUGCCAAAGUAAAAGUGCCCAGGAGAAGGAGUGGGAAUCGGAAAAGAAUGAAGGCAAAGCAAGCAAUGGAGGAUCCUGAUAGCUGUGUCUCCUGAUCCAUACUACAGUCCUGUAAGUGUUGAAGAACCUCUUGAAUUUGUCUUCCCAGAAGAUGGAGAGGUAAGUCUGACUCCUACCACCUCCAGAGGCCAGACUGUCAGAGAGCUACAUAGGAAAAGACAGCAGUCCACAGAUAUCAAAGCAAAGAAGAGCUUCCCUUUCAACAUCUAACAAAGGAUCCCGUCCUACUUCUGAUGCACUGUUAUCAACGCGAGUGCUGAGGGUUGCCUCGGCCGGCUAAAUAUGCAUUGACACAAUGACAAAUCUCUCCAGUGGCUGAGGGGAAUGGUGGGCCCUAGAGAAGGCAGGAAGAGGCUGAGGAGAGCAACCCCACAGCAGAUGCCCAUUUCCUUUCUGGCUAGGUUUGCAAAAGCCUCGUGUACACUCAAGGUCAUAAGGCUUUGGCAAAGAGGGGGCAUAGUUUCCCGGGAAACGACUUCACCCCAGAAGUGGAAUCCCACACCUUAGUUUACAGAGCUCCCUUCAAACUAGUUACUGAAGUUGCAGCCCAGUUUUGCACCCGUUCCAUCUCUUGAUUCCGAGUCUGGGUGCCCGACCUCCCCUCCUUCCCCUGGCUCUGCAUCCAGUGUGGGGUGCAAAUGUCACAUUCAGUCCUGGCAGGGUGCAAGAAACAAGGCUGGGCCCCACAGUGAACCAGUCUGUAGGGCCAAGCGAGGGGGCAGAGGGUGCGCUAGUGAAAGCGAUCCCCGCCCUCUCUUGGCCUUCUGCAGGGACACCUCGGCAUCCACUCACCCCCCUCAGGUGACAGUGUGGGAUUAGCCGGUCGCCAUUUGGGGCCGAGUAGGAAUUUUCCCCAUCCACCCGGAUUGGCUUGGAGGUGGCUGGUUUUUCACCUACUCUGCACUGUUGCACUGGAAGGGAUUUCUGAUCUGGCGGAUGUUAGGAGUGGUGCCGCUAAAUAGUGUAGCCCCUUGGUCACCAUGGCAGGUCCGGGGGGGGGGGAUGCAGUGCCCCACCCCAUUGGUGGCAGGUGCGAUUUCCCCCAGCUGCACGGCAGUUCUCUGCUAAAAUGAGUCAAUAAAGUGAUGGCCGUAGUUUCAACCCA
Molecule: long non-coding RNA, 1566 nt
Organism: Hemicordylus capensis (graceful crag lizard)
Lineage: Eukaryota; Metazoa; Chordata; Lepidosauria; Squamata; Cordylidae
Exons: 4
Source: RefSeq, a predicted model, not a curated record